UACGAAGGGGGCUAGCGUUGCUCGGAAUUACUGGGCGUAAAGCGCACGUAGGCGGCUUGUUAAGUCGGAGGUGAAAUCCUGGAGCUCAACUCCAGAACUGCCUUCGAUACUGGCGAGCUUGAGUUCGGGAGAGGUGAGUGGAACUGCGAGUGUAGAGGUGAAAUUCGUAGAUAUUGCAAGAACACCAGUGGCGAAGGCGGCUCACUGGCCCGAUACUGACGCUGAGGUGCGAAAGCGUGGGGAGCA
This 246-nucleotide ribosomal RNA is filed under the name uncultured bacterium. Its description in RNAcentral is "partial 16S ribosomal RNA". It matches the Rfam family "Bacterial small subunit ribosomal RNA", at positions 524 to 770 of the family's 1533-position model. The record is from RNAcentral.